AGGUGUUAAUCACGUGACCAAGAAGGUUCUUUUUUGGCCAGUUUUGUCCUUGGUUGCUUGGCAGGCAUUUGAGGAUAGAAGAGGACUGUGGGCACACCCCAAUGAGCAGGCAGCAACAGGGCUGAGGACUUGAACACACAGAGCUGGCAACUUGUGAGAUAAAGGGCUAUACACCUGUGCAGUCCAAUGUGGGAGCCAAGCCUGGUGUGGGAAAAGAAGCACUUGGACCUUCUUCAGGCUUGCUUAAGAUUAUAGACCUGUCCCUGAAAAAUCUCUGUAUGGGUAUGGAGUGCGGAAAUGCAAGGAUAUUCAGACUCCGGAUUUUCUCCUUCCCUUUGAGGUUGUGAGCAGAUGGCCUGGCUCCAUCAAAUAGACACAAACUCGGAGCUGACUAGAAACGAGUUCACCGGGAAUUCAGGAGAGCGGGCGGUGCGCACAGCU
Long non-coding RNA from Bos taurus (domestic cattle), 441 nucleotides. The record is from Ensembl. NCBI's taxonomy places the organism in Eukaryota, Metazoa, Chordata, Mammalia, Artiodactyla, Bovidae.